RNAcentral lists this ribosomal RNA (253 nucleotides) under uncultured bacterium. RNAcentral's name for it is "partial 16S ribosomal RNA". It matches the Rfam family "Bacterial small subunit ribosomal RNA", at positions 524 to 776 of the family's 1533-position model. The record is from RNAcentral.
UACAGAGGUGGCAAGCGUUGUUCGGAAUUACUGGGCGUAAAGGGCGCGUAGGCGGCCAUCUAAGUCGGACGUGAAAUCCCCCGGCUUAACCUGGGAACUGCGUCUGAUACUGGACGGCUCGAGUUUGGGAGAGGGAUGCAGAAUUCCAGGUGUAGCGGUGAAAUGCGUAGAUAUCUGGAGGAAUACCGGUGGCGAAGGCGGCAUCCUGGACUAACACUGACGCUGAGGCGCGAAAGCUAGGGGAGCAAACGGG